AUGCUUCACGGUGGCAGGCCGCUGUCCCUCAGGGGCUCCCUCAAGGCCCUCGAAGCCGAUAUCCACCACGCCAACACCCUGGCGCAUGCUAUCCACAGGGCCUACGGGGGCACCUGCGUGCAGAUGAGGCUGUCCUACAGCUCCAUGGCUCCAAUCAUCCUCAACCUUAUCCAGUGGAUGGACUGCAGCUGCUCCCUCUCCUACACCCUCCCCAGCUACCUGGGCCUUCUCGAGGUUCUCGUCUACAAGGUUUAUGUUGAUGGGGAUGCCUCCAUAUCCACCAUCGAAAGGCGAGCGAGCCUCAAAGAAUUCUACGCCAUAAUAUACCCCUACUUGCAACAAAUUGAGGAGAACGUCAUGGCGAGAGACUGCAAGGAGAAGGGGUGGUGCAAGGGGGACGGCGACAGCGGCGGCCGCCGGAAGCUUUACGCCGAUGACAAGGACGCCGAGAGGGAAGACGAGUGCGGCAUUUGCCUGGAGGCCUGCACCAAGAUGGUCCUUCCCAACUGCAACCAUGCCAUGUGCAUCAACUGUUACCGAGACUGGUACACAAGAUCCCAGUCGUGCCCAUUCUGCCGCGGAAGCCUGAAGCGAGUCCAGUCCAGGGACCUGUGGGUGCUCACUGGCGACGAGGACGUGAUCGACCCGGUGACCCUGGAGAAGGAGAAUGUGAGGCACUUCCACAGCUUCAUCGACAGCCUGCCCCUCAUCGUCCCCGACAACCUCCUGCUGGUCUACUAUGACUACCUAGUCUAG
RNAcentral lists this ribosomal RNA (756 nucleotides) under Triticum aestivum (bread wheat). RNAcentral's name for it is "partial small subunit ribosomal RNA". The record is from RNAcentral. Lineage: Eukaryota; Viridiplantae; Streptophyta; Magnoliopsida; Poales; Poaceae.